Molecule: ribosomal RNA, 427 nt
Filed under: uncultured beta proteobacterium
Lineage: Bacteria; Pseudomonadati; Pseudomonadota; Betaproteobacteria
Description: bacterial SSU rRNA
Rfam family: Bacterial small subunit ribosomal RNA
Source: RNAcentral
UGGGGAAUUUUGGACAAUGGGCGAAAGCCUGAUCCAGCCAUGCCGCGUGAGUGAAGAAGGCCUUCGGGUUGUAAAGCUCUUUUAGUCGGAAAGAAAGAGUCGCAAUGAAUAAUUGUGAUUUAUGACGGUACCGACAGAAAAAGCAGCGGCUAACUACGUGCCAGCAGCCGCGGUAAUACGUAGGGUGCGAGCGUUAAUCGGAAUUACUGGGCGUAAAGGGUGCGCAGGCGGUUUUGCAAGUCAGAUGUGAAAGCCCCGGGCUUAACCUGGGAAUUGCGUUUGAAACUACAAGGCUAGAGUGCAGCAGAGGGGAGUGGAAUUCCAUGUGUAGCAGUGAAAUGCGUAGAGAUGUGGAAGAACACCGAUGGCGAAGGCAGCUCCCUGGGUUGACACUGACGCUCAUGCACGAAAGCGUGGGGAGCAAACA